This 912-nucleotide ribosomal RNA is filed under the name Alteromonas sp. Its description in RNAcentral is "bacterial SSU rRNA". It matches the Rfam family "Bacterial small subunit ribosomal RNA", at positions 56 to 965 of the family's 1533-position model. Lineage: Bacteria; Pseudomonadati; Pseudomonadota; Gammaproteobacteria; Alteromonadales; Alteromonadaceae. The record is from RNAcentral.
UGCAAGUCGAACGGUAGCAGGAAGUGCUUGCACUUUGCUGACGAGUGGCGGACGGGUGAGUAAUGCUUGGGAACUUGCCUUUGCGAGGGGGAUAACAGUUGGAAACGACUGCUAAUACCGCAUAAUGUCUACGGACCAAACGGGGCUUAGGCUUCGGCGCAGAGAGAGGCCCAAGUGAGAUUAGCUAGUUGGUGGGGUAAAGGCUCACCAAGGCGACGAUCUCUAGCUGUUCUGAGAGGAAGAUCAGCCACACUGGGACUGAGACACGGCCCAGACUCCUACGGGAGGCAGCAGUGGGGAAUAUUGCACAAUGGGGGGAACCCUGAUGCAGCCAUGCCGCGUGUGUGAAGAAGGCCUUCGGGUUGUAAAGCACUUUCAGUUGUGAGGAAAAGUGAGUAGUUAAUACCUGCUCACCGUGACGUUAACAACAGAAGAAGCACCGGCUAACUCCGUGCCAGCAGCCGCGGUAAUACGGAGGGUGCGAGCGUUAAUCGGAAUUACUGGGCGUAAAGCGCACGCAGGCGGUUUGUUAAGCUAGAUGUGAAAGCCCCGAGCUCAACUUGGGAUGGUCAUUUAGAACUGGCAGACUAGAGUCUUGGAGAGGGGAGUGGAAUUCCAGGUGUAGCGGUGAAAUGCGUAGAUAUCUGGAGGAACAUCAGUGGCGAAGGCGACUCCCUGGCCAAAGACUGACGCUCAUGUGCGAAAGUGUGGGUAGCGAACAGGAUUAGAUACCCUGGUAGUCCACACCGUAAACGCUGUCUACUAGCUGUUUGUGGCUUUAAGCCGUGAGUAGCGAAGCUAACGCGAUAAGUAGACCGCCUGGGGAGUACGGCCGCAAGGUUAAAACUCAAAUGAAUUGACGGGGGCCCGCACAAGCGGUGGAGCAUGUGGUUUAAUUCGAUGCAACGCGAA